RNAcentral lists this unclassified non-coding RNA (382 nucleotides) under Hevea brasiliensis (rubber tree). Lineage: Eukaryota; Viridiplantae; Streptophyta; Magnoliopsida; Malpighiales; Euphorbiaceae. The record is from RNAcentral.
GUCCUCCAAAUUACUUUCUUCCGAACCCCCACGAGAGGCUUCUCCAUCAGAUUGACUAGCAGUCCCUGACGUCCCCCCUUCCUCCUUACUCCCAUCAUCCAGCACAACAGAUUUCUCAUCCCCGCCAUCUUCAUCACUGUCCUCAUCAUCCUCACUCUCGCUAUCUUCCACUUUAUUCUUCCCAAGCCAUAUCUUUAACCGCUUUGACGGCUCAGAUGUAGGCAAGAUCUUCCUCUUAUUCCCCUUGCUGUCCUUGGCCCCACCACCUCCUCCAUUCUUACCUCCAGCUCCAGCUCCAGCGCCGCCGCCGCCGCCGCCCUCUUUUGGGUUUCCAUUACCACCUUUCUUCCCGAAAAUAUUACCAACCAUGCCCUUCAUUCCG